Molecule: ribosomal RNA, 480 nt
Filed under: uncultured Alphaproteobacteria bacterium
Lineage: Bacteria; Pseudomonadati; Pseudomonadota; Alphaproteobacteria
Description: bacterial SSU rRNA
Rfam family: Bacterial small subunit ribosomal RNA
Source: RNAcentral
GAGUUUGAUCAUGGCUCAGAACGAACGCUGGCGGCAUGCCUAACACAUGCAAGUCGAACGGGAUCCCAGGGCUUCGGCCUGGUGAGAGUGGCGGACGGGUGAGUAACGCGUGGGAACCUGCCCAAUGGUCUGGGAUAACCGCGGGAAACUGCGGCUAAUACCGGAUAAGCCCGAGAGGGGAAAGAUUUAUCGCCGAUGGAGGGGCCCGCGUCCGAUUAGGUAGUUGGUGAGGUAACGGCUCACCAAGCCGACGAUCGGUAGCUGGUCUGAGAGGAUGAUCAGCCACACUGGGACUGAGAUACGGCCCAGACUCCUACGGGAGGCAGCAGUGGGGAAUAUUGGACAAUGGGGGCAACCCUGAUCCAGCAAUGCCGCGUGAGUGAUGAAGGCCUUAGGGUUGUAAAGCUCUUUUGGCGGGACGAUGAUGACGGUACCCGCAGAAUAAGCCCCGGCUAACUUCGUGCCAGCCGCCGCUGUAAG